GGGGACUGUGUAGUAAUGGUCACAUUUGUGUUAAGGUGCCACUACCCAAUUGGCUCAAAUUUCAAAUUCAAUUACCUGUGAAAGUGAAACCAUUCUUCUGGGAGUUAUACUAACCCUUUGCUUCUUUUGCUUCGAUUCCGUUCCAUUAGCCAUGAGUUUUCAAGAUAUCCAAGGUGGGCCCAACCCUCCCUCUCGCCGAAACCAGUCACCGUCUCAGGCCGUCGCUGCCGGAAUUUUCCAGAUCAACACCGCCGUCGCUACUUUCCGGCGACUCGUCGAUGCCGUUGGAACCGUCAAAGACACUCCCGAACACCGUCAGAAGCUGCACAAUACGAGGCAGAGGAUAUUGCAGCUGGUGAAGGAUACUUCUUCUAAGCUCAAAUCCUUGACUGAAUCUGAUCGUGAUGCUAAUGCCAAUGCUAGUAAGAAAAUUGAAGAUGCUAAACUUGCAAGAGAUUUCCAGACCACAUUACAAGAGUUCCAAAAAGUACAGCAGCUUGCUUCGGAGCGCGAAUCGAGUUACACCCCUGCUGCUCCUUCUUCUCCUUUACCAACAAGCUCCGGCCCCGGUGAAGCAUCAGUUGGGAUAGAUGUGGAAAACCAACCUUUCAUCAGAGAGCAGAAGAGGCAAGAGAUACUUCUGUUGGAUAAUGAAAUAUCCUUCAACGAGGCCAUGAUUGAAGAAAGAGAACAGGGAAUUAGAGAGGUAGAAGAGCAAAUAGGACAAGCAAAUGAAAUAUUCAAGGACCUAGCUGUUCUUGUUCAUGAUCAGGGUGUUGUUAUUGACGACAUUCAAUCAAACAUCGAUGCUUCUGCUGGUGCAACAACCCAAGGAAAGGUCCAGCUAGCCAAGGCUUCCAAAAGUGUGAAAUCCAGAACCUCAUGGGUGAGUUGUAAAAAUUUAUAACACUGAAAAAGCUCAAAUAAUAGUCAAACACUAUCAAGUUUCAGCUUCCCACUCGUAGUGGGGCAAGUUAGCUUCAUUUCAUAGACAAUAAAAUAUAAUGCCGUCAAUUUCAUGUAUGACAUUUGGAAUUUAUUUUUCAUAUGAUCAAUUUGUCUUAUUUCUUACAAAUGGCACUAUUUGCACACUUCCCUUGCAUGUUAACAUCUACACGCCACUCAUUGGCUACUUAGAGAAAAAUAUUCCAAACUUGGAAGAAUUCCAGUGUUGGUGGGUGCUUGUAAUUUUUGUGGUUGUGCUGGUCAUCCUACUUCUAGUACUCAUUCUUUAGUGUGCAAGUGCAUACAAGCUGGGCAGAUUUUUCUACUCCUUCAUUACUUGUCCAAGAUUGAUUUAAAUUGAUGAAUCUUCUCAUAUUUCGUUAGUGUUUAAUGGUGUGAAGAGUGUUUUGACCAAAAGAAAUGUGUUGAGGAGUGUAAUGCAACACAGUUUGAUAUGGUUGACUGCGCAUUUGCAGCUGGAAGUUGGAAGAAAUGACUGAGGCAAAGCGAUUUUAAGUGAACUUGUCUUGUAUUUGUAAUAUAGAUUUGCAAUAUAGGAUUUGUAGUUGCUGAAACAUGAAUUCGCAAGCCAUGUACCAUUACCAAUUUCUUGAUGGCAAGUGCAUGUGUGCAUAUUUUAUCGCCAUGCUGCAUUAUCGGGGCGAUAUAAUUCUUCCUUUGAAUCCUCCUCAGCGUAUUUGUUAACAUCACAUUCAAGUAAUGCAAGUUAAAAUCCUAUAUU
Abrus precatorius (Indian licorice) is the source of this 1687-nucleotide RNA transcript. It is a transcript of the gene named syntaxin-22-like, with no coding region annotated. The record is from RefSeq and is a predicted model, not a curated record. The transcript has 7 exons. Lineage: Eukaryota; Viridiplantae; Streptophyta; Magnoliopsida; Fabales; Fabaceae.